AUACGGAGGAUCCGAGCGUUAUCCGGAUUUAUUGGGUUUAAAGGGUGCGCAGGCGGGAAGUUAGGUCGGCGGUGAAAUUUCGGGGCUCAACCCCGAGAGUGCCGUUGAAACCGGUUUUCUUGAGUGCGGAUGAGGUAGGCGGAAUUUGUGGUGUAGCGGUGAAAUGCGUAGAUAUCACAAGGAACACCGAUUGCGGAGGCAGCUUACUAAACCGUUACUGACGCUCAUGCACGAAGGCGUGGGGAUCAAACAGGAUUAGAUACCCUGGUAGUCCACGCAGUAAACGAUGAUUACUAGCUGUUUGCGAUACAUUGUAAGCGGCUGAGCGAAAGCGUUAAGUAAUCCACCUGGGGAGUACGUUCGCAAGAAUGAA
Molecule: ribosomal RNA, 373 nt
Filed under: uncultured bacterium
Lineage: Bacteria
Description: bacterial SSU rRNA
Rfam family: Bacterial small subunit ribosomal RNA
Source: RNAcentral